This 254-nucleotide ribosomal RNA is filed under the name uncultured bacterium. RNAcentral's name for it is "partial 16S ribosomal RNA". It matches the Rfam family "Bacterial small subunit ribosomal RNA", at positions 524 to 777 of the family's 1533-position model. The record is from RNAcentral.
UACGGGGGGGGGCAAGCGUUGUUCGGAAUUACUGGGCGUAAAGGCUCGUAGGCGGCCAACUAAGUCGGACGUGAAAUCCCCAGGCUCAACCUGGGAACUGCGUCCGAUACUGGAUGGCUUGAAUCCGGGAGAGGGAUGCAGAAUUCCAGGUGUAGCGGUGAAAUGCGUAGAUAUCUGGAGGAAUACCGGUGGCGAAGGCGGCAUCCUGGACCGGCAUUGACGCUGAGGAGCGAAAGCCAGGGGAGCAAAGCAGG